RNAcentral lists this ribosomal RNA (497 nucleotides) under uncultured bacterium. RNAcentral describes it as "partial 16S ribosomal RNA". It matches the Rfam family "Bacterial small subunit ribosomal RNA", at positions 28 to 507 of the family's 1533-position model. The record is from RNAcentral.
GACGAACGCUGGCGGCGUGCCUAAUACAUGCAAGUAGAACGCUGAAGAGAGGAGCUUGCUCUUCUUGGAUGAGUUGCGAACGGGUGAGUAACGCGUAGGUAACCUGCCUUGUAGCGGGGGAUAACUAUUGGAAACGAUAGCUAAUACCGCAUAACAAUAGGUGACACAUGUCAUUUAUUUGAAAGGGGCAAUUGCUCCACUACAAGAUGGACCUGCGUUGUAUUAGCUAGUAGGUGAGGUAACGGCUCACCUAGGCGACGAUACAUAGCCGACCUGAGAGGGUGAUCGGCCAAACUGGGACUGAGACACGGCCCAGACUCCUACGGGAGGCAGCAGUAGGGAAUCUUCGGCAAUGGGGGCAACCCUGACCGAGCAACGCCGCGUGAGUGAAGAAGGUUUUCGGAUCGUAAAGCUCUGUUGUAAGUCAAGAACGAGUGUGAGAGUGGAAAGUUCACACUGUGACGGUAGCUUACCAGAAAGGGACGGCUAACUACGUG